CCCACCAAUCAGCCAUCUGUGGUUUGAGACUCACAAGCUUAGGAGAGACUCGGGAGGCAUCAGUUCCGCAUCCCGCACUCCCACGUGAAUUUGCCCCCGCCCUGAGUCAGAACCCUAGAGGGGUGAAAUCCCUGAAUUCUGCAGAGGAAACCCAUACUUCUUUGCUUUUUCAGCAAUUCCAGGAGAUGUCGUUUUUCAAGUGGCAAAUGUGUGGCUCUAGAGGACAGAGUAACCACCUUGCAGCCAAGAAGCCCUGAUGUCAACUCCCAGCUCUGCUGCAGCACCCAGAAAUCACCGGACCUUUCUGCAUCUUUCUGGGUGACUCUGUCAUGAGGAUUUCAUAAUGUAAUUCCCUAGCACAUAAGAAUUUCUCAACCAAUAUGGCUUUCUUUUUUCCUUCUCACUAGUCUUUGAGCUUCUUAAAGGGAAGACAUGUCCUAUUCAUCUCUACACCCCCCACACCAGUCUGCAUUCAGUAAGUGCUCAAUCAAUGUCUGCUGAAUCACAUCUUCCCACUCAACUGCAUGGCCUCGGAUGAUCCAAUUCUGUGGGACUCAGGGUCUCCCUGAUUCUGAAGAUCUCCAUUUCAGCCACCCCAUCCUGGUGCUUUUUCUGGAGAGACUGGGAAAAAGGAGACAGAAGAAUCCACUCUAGCUGAGACUCCAGAUUGCCUGGGCUGUAAUUUACGGUGCUAUCACAAAGGGGUCCUUUUUCCGCAUGGUGCUCUGCGGUGAUGAGCCAGAAGCUGAAGCUGAGGGGUCUUAUUGGCUGUGCAAACUUGAGGGAGUUGCCUAACCACUCUGGGCCCUGUUUUCCUGGCUUUGCCACUCUUCAGCUGUGUGACCCGGGGAAGCUCUCAACCUCUUUGUGCCUCCAUUUCCACAUCUGUAAAAUGGGGAUAUGAAAGUGGCUGCUUUGUGAAGAGUCCUGAGAAUAAAUGAGUUAAGGAAAACUGAUAUGGAUAAAUAUGGAAGAGAGCUGGCCAGUGGAUGAAAUGGUGAUGUAAAGGUUAAGAGAAAUAAAAGCAGGAGACGAGGAGAGAGUCACACCACGGUGAGCAGAGAGUUGAGCUGGGGCCCGGGACAAGCAUCAAAAGUGUCACUUCCUCUGAGGUCCCAACCCUACUUCCAUAGGCUCUGCAGCCCACACCACCUUGGAACCAAACAGGGAGGUGGCAGAACUGAUGGGCUGGCCGCACCACCUUAAAUCUCUUAGCUCCAAAACUGGAGGUGCUCAUCAGGACCCUGCAUCAUUUCUGUGGGUGAUGGAUGGUGUGAGGUAAGGCACAGAGAUCUAGACUUAUUUCUCCUUCCACAACAAUUGUUUCUUGGAAGAGGAAGAAAACUUAGCUGGAUUUUAUCUCUUUGUGUGGAUUUCUGGGGUAGACACCCAGAGGUGUGUGCAGGAGCAUGCUCUUUGGGGCCCACAUAGAGAUUCCAGCAGGUGCUGGAGAUUCUGGGGUAGCCUUUCCAUGACUGCUGGCCUCUUUUCCCCUGUGUUGCUUUGGUUUGCUGUCUGGCUAAAGGCAGGAGUGGGAGAAACUCACAUUCCACAAGAGGCUGCCUGGAGCAGAGGCCAAGAGGGUAAGGUUUGUCCAAGGCCUUCCAUCUCAGCUUUGCUGCCAAUUUGUCAGAAAAAAAAUCAUUUGUGCCAAUUAGACCCUGGUUAGGAAAGUGUUGUCCUGUCUGGGAAGCAGGUACAGAAACCAGUUGCAAGGACAGGAGAUCAAUGAAAGUGACACAUUACUUAUGCCUCCAAUUCUUCUCAGCCCUCAAUUUAGUCUCUGAGACACAGAGAAAAUAAGUGUACUUGCCUUGCUAAUGGGUACAUGGUUGGCUUUGGGCAAUUUAUAUAGAGCACUUUAGUUCCAAGAUGAAAUGCACUGAGAUAUUAGGAUUAGUCUCUGCUUUAAUGAGUUUCUGACUUGCAGGUUUGAAAAAAUUUAGUUCUUUUCUGUAUUUCUCUACAAACACAAAACAAUGAUUUAAUGGUAAAACAACAAUGAAAAGAAACUAGGCCAUUCUCUCCAAAAUGAUUAAAAGGGUACUUCUCCUGACCUGACAUAACCUUUCCUCAUAUGAAUUUAUUAUCUGUAUUCACACUCAUAUUCCACUGGAAUGCCUUGGGUCCAGGUGGAUGGUUGCUUAUGGUUAGUAUCGAUUCUGAGCAGGUAGGCAUUCAUACUGUUUGGUUGACGCCUGUGGUGAACAGACCUUAAGGUGACUUCUUGCACCCCUGAGUCAUUUUCUUGUAUAAUCUCCUCUCUUUGAGGACACAAACUGUGCCCUGCUUCAAACCAGUGGAAUAGAGACAAGGUGAUGAGAUCUUUGGUUAUUGCACCUAACUGCUUCAUUCAUUGCACAAUUAGUCACACGCUGUUUUGUGAUGCAGAACAUUUUUUUUUAAGAGAUGGUAGUCUCACUCUGACACCCAGGUUGGAGUGCAGUGACA
Molecule: long non-coding RNA, 2451 nt
Filed under: Homo sapiens (human)
Lineage: Eukaryota; Metazoa; Chordata; Mammalia; Primates; Hominidae
Description: HSALNT0318732
Source: RNAcentral